Molecule: long non-coding RNA, 796 nt
Filed under: Manihot esculenta (cassava)
Lineage: Eukaryota; Viridiplantae; Streptophyta; Magnoliopsida; Malpighiales; Euphorbiaceae
Description: long non-coding RNA (MESC_LNC010641)
Source: RNAcentral
GUACAUAUUUAUUUUCUUAUUUUUAAAUAAAAAAGAAAAAAAAAUUAUUCUAGGAGGAUUCAUCAACUUUUGAUGAAACUUGAAAGAUCAAACCAGCGUCACAGAAAUUAAAAAGAAUACCAAACAAAAGCAGCCCUUCAAACCCCUUAACCGUACCUAACUCCAUCUCAUCGCCUCCUUAUGUGGAGUUUGACGUCUACCACAUAUUAACAUGUACUUGUCCAAUGGCACUUAGCUAAUUUUAGGUUGAGAUCUUAGAGUCUUCUUUUCCAUUUAAGAUGGAAGUUUGUUUUGAAUAUAAAGAUUCUAGUCCUAGAAGUAAGUCAUAUCAAGACUUUAAAGAAAGAAAAAUACAAAAGCCCAAUAAGAAGCCAACUAUUGAACAAUAUAAAGCCCACAACAUAAACCUUUGAUUUAUUAUGUGCAUGUAGUCAUUGGUCUAUAGCCACUUGACACAACUGUCACAUCCCUGAUUUUGAACUCCUGCAGGUUGGAGGGAUGCCAUGGUUAGAGUUGCUGAGAUUGGGUGGGAAUCAAGAAGUCCAAUCCAAUUGUAGGUGGGGUGAGGCUUUUUGAAGUUGGCAGACGAGCUAGCUGGUUGAGCAGGAGACUUGUAUAAGAGCUGUAGGCAGAAUGACCUGUCAAACUUAGGCGGGACGAGUUGAGGAGUAGGCGAAAGCUAUUGGCGAGAUUAGUGGUUGGAGGGACGAGCUGCCGAGAGGACGAGCAUCAUAUUGGAUGCGAGGCUGAGGCAAGAGAACGCCCAUAAGCUAGAAGAGGCCUGGGAGUGUCANNN